UACCGGCAGUCCAAGUAGCAGCCAACAUUAUUGGGUCUAAAACAUCCGUAGCUUGUUUGUUAAGUUUCUUGUGAAAUCUCGUGUCUCAAGCUCGAGGCGCGCAAGAAAUACUGGCAGACUAGAGAUCGGCAAGAUGUGAGGAGUACGUCGGAGGUAGUGGUUAAAUAUGUUAAUCUCCAGCGGACUAACAAUCAGCGAAGGCACCUUACAAGUACGAAUCUGACAGUGAGGGAUGAAAGCCAGGGGCGCAAAA
RNAcentral lists this ribosomal RNA (253 nucleotides) under uncultured archaeon. Its description in RNAcentral is "partial 16S ribosomal RNA". It matches the Rfam family "Archaeal small subunit ribosomal RNA", at positions 474 to 724 of the family's 1478-position model. The record is from RNAcentral.